RNAcentral lists this transfer RNA (69 nucleotides) under Ictidomys tridecemlineatus (thirteen-lined ground squirrel). RNAcentral's name for it is "Spermophilus tridecemlineatus (thirteen-lined ground squirrel) tRNA". It matches the Rfam family "tRNA". Rfam says of the family: Transfer RNA (tRNA) molecules are approximately 80 nucleotides in length. Their secondary structure includes four short double-helical elements and three loops (D, anti-codon, and T loops). The record is from Rfam by way of RNAcentral. Lineage: Eukaryota; Metazoa; Chordata; Mammalia; Rodentia; Sciuridae.
GGGGUUGUGGCUCAGCGGUAUAGCACUCAUCUCUCAUGUGUGAGACCAUGGGUUCGAUCCUCAGCACCA